AUGGUCGGAUGCCUGAUUCAGGAUUACUUCCCGUCGGGACCUAUGAAUGUGACCUGGAGUGAGAGCGGGGAACAUGUGACCAUCUUAAACUUCCCACCUGCCCAGGCUCCAGGGGGCCUAUACACCAUGAGCAGCCAACUGACCCUGCCAGCUGACCAGUGCAGUGAUGAAAAAUGCCUGACAUGUUACGUGCAGCAUGACUCUAACCCUAUUCAAGAUGUGACUGUGCCCUGCCACAGAGGAAAAGAAAACACCUUCCCACCUCAGGUUCAUCUGCUACCGCCGCCGUCGGAGGAGCUGGCCCUGAACGAGCUAGUGUCACUGACAUGCCUGGUGCGGGGAUUCAACCCCAAGGAGAUAUUGGUGCGCUGGCUGCACGGGAGCCAGGAGCUUCCCCGUGAGGAAUACCUGGUGUGGAAACCCUUAAAGGAGCCAGGCGAGGGCACCAUCACCUUUGCAGUGACCAGUGUACUGCGUGUGACAGCUGCAGCCUGGAAAAAGGGCGACAGCUUCUCCUGCAUGGUGGGCCAUGAAACCUUGCCCUUGACCUUCACGCAGAAGACCAUCGACCGCCUAUCGGAAUGUCGAGAGACACUUCCCUGGGCGAUACUGGACCAGCCACAGGAGCGCCUGGAGGAUGAGGUACCAGGUGCCAACCUGUGGCCCACCACCAUCACCUUCCUCACCCUCUUCCUAUUGAGCCUGUUCUACAGCACGGCACUCACUGUGACAACUGUGAAAGGCAUACCUGGCAACAAAGAGGAACCCCAGUACUGA
Jaculus jaculus (lesser Egyptian jerboa) is the source of this 777-nucleotide non-coding RNA. Lineage: Eukaryota; Metazoa; Chordata; Mammalia; Rodentia; Dipodidae. The record is from the annotation of a RefSeq genome assembly.